GUCAAACAGUCUUUCGUCUGAAAUUGUUGACCAGAUCAUAUUUCUAAAUAAGAACAAAAUCAAAGUGACCGGCGGUGAACCCUACGCAACAGAUUAGGGACAUUUUUAACGGUGUUUGUAUACGGAUCAACACUUUCAUGGAUUAAUAAUUAACUCGUCACAAGCCAUAAAACUCACCUUUGUUUGUUAAUCAAGACUUCUAUGUAAACGUGAUUGGUAUGAGAUGUACAAUUAAAUUAAUUUAAUCACUCUGUAUUUUAAACUUAACUAUAAUUGUUUAAUAUUAAAAAAAAACAAAAGUCGAAAAUAAACUGACAACGUCAUGGCUUUAAAAAAAAAAGAAAAUCAGAUAAACGAUGGUGCAAAAAGGGAAGACUAAGCAAC
RNAcentral lists this long non-coding RNA (384 nucleotides) under Mytilus galloprovincialis (Mediterranean mussel). Lineage: Eukaryota; Metazoa; Mollusca; Bivalvia; Mytilida; Mytilidae. The record is from RNAcentral.